Molecule: ribosomal RNA, 253 nt
Filed under: uncultured bacterium
Lineage: Bacteria
Description: partial 16S ribosomal RNA
Rfam family: Bacterial small subunit ribosomal RNA
Source: RNAcentral
UACGUAGGGUGCAAGCGUUAAUCGGAAUUACUGGGCGUAAAGCGUGCGCAGGCGGUUGUGCAAGACCGAUGUGAAAUCCCCGGGCUCAACCUGGGAAUGGCAUUGGUGACUGCACGGCUAGAGUGUGUCAGAGGGGGGUAGAAUUCCACGUGUAGCAGUGAAAUGCGUAGAGAUGUGGAGGAAUACCGAUGGCGAAGGCAGCCCCCUGGGUUAACACUGACGCUCAGGCACGAAAGCGUGGGGAGCAAACAGG